GUCCACGCCGUAAACGAUGUCAACUAGCCGUUGGGAGUCUUGAACUCUUAGUGGCGCAGCUAACGCAUUAAGUUGACCGCCUGGGGAGUACGGCCGCAAGGUUAAAACUCAAAGGAAUUGACGGGGACCCGCACAAGCGGUGGAUGAUGUGGAUUAAUUCGAUGCAACGCGAAAAACCUUACCAAGUCUUGACAUCCUGCGACGAUGCUGGAAACAGUAUUUCCUUCGGGACGCAGAGACAGGUGGUGCAUGGUUGUCGU
Molecule: ribosomal RNA, 260 nt
Filed under: uncultured bacterium
Lineage: Bacteria
Description: partial 16S ribosomal RNA
Rfam family: Bacterial small subunit ribosomal RNA
Source: RNAcentral